AUGUGCGGCCACCAGGAGGAGUCACUGUUUCAUUCUCUGGUGAUGUGUGACCACGCGAAGUUGUUUUGGAGAGAGGCAGAGACUUUCUUCGAGUUUAAGCUGCCGCGGCUACACCCAGUUACGUGGUCGAGGGACUUGCUUGACCCCAGCUUAAUUGGGAAGGACCGAGAGGCCAUCAUUAUCUUAGUCAUGUGGAUAGUAUGGUCGAGCAGGAACAAGUAUACCCAUGAGGAGGUCAAAUACCAGCCCGGGAGGUCAAUGGUUCUAGUGAAGGAACUCAUUCAAGCUUUGUACAUUCCUUCCGAAGCUGUCGGCAGGAGAAGUCUCGUGAAAGAGAAAUGA
Molecule: ribosomal RNA, 342 nt
Filed under: Triticum aestivum (bread wheat)
Lineage: Eukaryota; Viridiplantae; Streptophyta; Magnoliopsida; Poales; Poaceae
Description: partial small subunit ribosomal RNA
Source: RNAcentral